UACGUAGGGCGCAAGCGUUGUCCGGAAUUAUUGGGCGUAAAGAGCUCGUAGGCGGUUUGUCGCGUCUGCUGUGAAAUCCCCAGGCUCAACUUGGGGCGUGCAGUGGGUACGGGCAGACUAGAGUGCGGUAGGGGAGACUGGAAUUCCUGGGUGUAGCGGUGGAAUGCGCAGAUAUCAGGAGGAACACCGAUGGCGAAGGCAGGUCUCUGGGCCGUUACUGACGCU
RNAcentral lists this ribosomal RNA (225 nucleotides) under uncultured bacterium. RNAcentral describes it as "partial 16S ribosomal RNA". It matches the Rfam family "Bacterial small subunit ribosomal RNA", at positions 524 to 747 of the family's 1533-position model. The record is from RNAcentral.